AUGAUGGAGAAAGGAGCGGUCGAAAGCUGGACGUCGUCACCAGCUGUAACCAUGGUGGAAGAGCACAGUGAUGUCGUCCAUGGACACGAGGUACAACCUCAGCUAGCUCCCAUGGCAUCCUCCUCCCCGACCUCCUCAUCCUGGUCGCCGGAGAACCACCUCCUAACCAAGCCCACCCGCGUCCGAGCUCUCCGCAACAUAGCCCACGAGGGAGGCGACGACGACGACUACGUCUCGCCCUGGCGGGACGCCUCGCGGUCGCGGGUGCGCAGUGUCGAAGCCCUGAGAGCCAUCUGCAGGAAGUACUCCAUCCCCGACGGCUUCACCCCUCUCCUCGCCGGCGACCGGUCGGCGCGCGCGCCGCCGCCGCCAGGGUCCGUCUGCGUGUACAUUGAUGCGCUGGAGGCCGGGAUGCGCCUGCCCCUCCACCCCUUCUUCGGCGUGGUGCUCGACCACUUCGGGAUCGCCCCGGCCCAGCUCGCCCCCAACGGCUGGCGCGCCCUGGCGGGCUUCGUCGUGCUCUCCCACUUCGCCGGCACGCCGCCGUCGCUGCCCGUAUUCCGGCACUUCUUCUCGCUGGUCGCGUUCCCCCAUAAGCUCUACUCUCUCCGCGGCAAAGACGCCACCGGCGCCGGUUUGCUCUUCCGUCCGACGAAGGCCAAGAAUGCGGGGUGGAAGGAGGAGUUCUUCUUCAUGUCGUCACCGGCUGCGUCGCCGUGGCAGUGCCCUGUGCAGUGGGGUAGGCCAUUCAGGUCCGCCACCUCUGACCCGUCGCUCACCGGCCCGGAGAAGGCCGUGGCGGCGAGCCUGCUGCGCGCUCGAGGCGGUUGCCCGAUCGAUCUCACGGCGUAUCUCCGCGACAGCAACUUGGCCGCGGCCAAGAUCAUCGGGGCACUAUCACCGCCGCCGCCGACUCCUCAAGGUGAACUUCUGAAAAGAGCGGCGCACGCUCCAGCGGAGGAGUCCACGGUGAAGAGCGAGCCGGACUGCGUUGCGCCGUCGCCCAGUGCGCCGUCGUCUUCCCGAAAAGAAAAGAAGCGGAAGCUGCCGGAGCACCAUGCAAACGGCGAGAGCUCGGCGUCGGGAUAUCUCUCUUUCCCGCCGGGCUUCUACCCACAUCUCCGGAAAGCACGGACCACCACUACGACCACGAGCACACACGGGAAGCAAUGCCACGGCGGCGAAGAAGGGGACAGGAGCGGCUGGAAGGCGGCGAGGCAGCUGCUGCAGUGCAUCGUCACGCCGGAGCGGCAGCGCGAGCACGCGGCGUCCAGGCCGGCCGACGUCGUGGCGUCGAGCUACGUGUCCCUGCUCCAGACGGCGAACGAGGUGGCGUUCUCGCUUGGCUACGCUCUGGAGCUCGAGGAGAGGCUGAGGGACGCUGACGAGCUGCGGGCGGAGCUCCGCAAGGUGAAGGCCGAGCUCGCCGACACCAAGGCCAAGGCGGCGGCCGUGCGGGAGUCCCGGCGACCCAGGGCGCGCUGA
RNAcentral lists this ribosomal RNA (1485 nucleotides) under Triticum aestivum (bread wheat). RNAcentral describes it as "partial small subunit ribosomal RNA". Lineage: Eukaryota; Viridiplantae; Streptophyta; Magnoliopsida; Poales; Poaceae. The record is from RNAcentral.